RNAcentral lists this unclassified non-coding RNA (393 nucleotides) under uncultured fungus. RNAcentral describes it as "partial contains small subunit ribosomal RNA, internal transcribed spacer 1, and 5.8S ribosomal RNA". The stretch from base 1 to 73 matches the Rfam family "Eukaryotic small subunit ribosomal RNA", at positions 1759 to 1831 of the family's 1831-position model. The record is from RNAcentral. Lineage: Eukaryota; Fungi.
GCAAACUUGGUCAUUUAGAGGAAGUAAAAGUCGUAACAAGGUAUCCGUAGGUGAACCUGCGGAUGGAUCAUUACCAAUUUUUAUAUGUUAGUUCUUGUGCUCCCGUCAAAAGGAGUUACAUUAUACUACUACUGUAAAUGUUGAACUGGAUCGAUUGGUGUGGAUUGCUUGGGAAUGGAAGAAGCGACAAGCCUCUUCCGGACAGGCAAACCCCACACUGAUAACCCUUUUUCAUAUAUAUACUACUACCAAUACAUACUACAAAAACAAAAACAAAAGCUAUAAUAGGACUUAUUAUGAGUUGAGUGGGUAAAAGCCUCAGCUUCAAAACUAAUAACUAUUACAACUUUCAGCAAUGGAUCUCUAGGCUCUCGCAUCGAUGAAGAACGCAGC